This 408-nucleotide ribosomal RNA is filed under the name uncultured bacterium. Its description in RNAcentral is "partial 16S ribosomal RNA". It matches the Rfam family "Bacterial small subunit ribosomal RNA", at positions 29 to 526 of the family's 1533-position model. The record is from RNAcentral.
AGUGAACGCUGGCGGCGUGCCUAAUACAUGCAAGUCGAACGGAGUGGCGCACGGGUGAGUAAUAUAUAGCUAAUCUGCCCCUUGCUGGAGGACAACAGUUAGAACUGAAUGCUAAUACGCAAUAGAAAGGGAUGAGCCUAUAUCGUAUCAGCUAGUCGGUGGGGUAACGGCCUACCGAGGCGAUGACGCGUAACUGGUCUGAGAGGAUGAUCAGUCGAAUUCGACGUGAGGCACGGGCCAAAAUCCUACGGGAAGCAGCAGUAGGGAAUAGUGUGCAAUGGGGGAGACUCUGACGCGGCAACGCCGCGUGGAGGAUGUCACUUUGCGGAGCGUACACUCCUUUUGUUAUCGAAGCGGUACCGAACGAAUAAGCACCGGCUAACUCCGUGCCAGCAGCCGCGGUAAUUC